RNAcentral lists this ribosomal RNA (459 nucleotides) under uncultured bacterium. Its description in RNAcentral is "partial 16S ribosomal RNA". It matches the Rfam family "Bacterial small subunit ribosomal RNA", at positions 338 to 795 of the family's 1533-position model. The record is from RNAcentral.
CCUACGGGCGGCAGCAGUGAGGAAUAUUUGUCAAUGGCCGGAAGGCUGAACCAGCCAAGCCGCGUGAAGGACGAAGGUGUCAAGCAUUGUAAACUUCUUUUGUCAAGGGACAAAAUCAGGCACGAGAGCCUGACCGAGGGUACUUGAAGAAAAAGCAUCGGCUAACUCCGUGCCAGCAGCCGCGGUAAUACGGAGGAUGUGAGCGUUAUCCGGAUUUAUUGGGUUUAAAGGGUGCGUAGGCGGGCUGUUAAGCCAGCGGUAAAAGCCCGGGGCUCAACCCCGGCUAGCCGUUGAAACUGGCUGUCUUGAGAUGGAGAGAGGUAUGCGGAAUGCGCAGUGUAGCGGUGAAAUGCUUAGAUAUUGCGAAGAACUCCGAUUGCGAAGGCAGCAUACCGGCGGGGAUCUGACGCUGAGGCACGAAGGCGUGGGUAUCGAACAGGAUUAGAUACCCGGGUAGUC